This 429-nucleotide ribosomal RNA is filed under the name Bacteroidota bacterium. RNAcentral describes it as "Bacteroidetes bacterium partial 16S ribosomal RNA". It matches the Rfam family "Bacterial small subunit ribosomal RNA", at positions 355 to 776 of the family's 1533-position model. Lineage: Bacteria; Pseudomonadati; Bacteroidota. The record is from RNAcentral.
UAGGGAAUCUUCCGCAAUGGACGCAAGUCUGACGGAGCAACGCCGCGUGAGUGAAGAAGGAUUUCGGUUCGUAAAACUCUGUUGUUAGAGAAGAACAGCGCAUAGAGUAACUGUUAUGCGUGUGACGGUAUCUAACCAGAAAGCCACGGCUAACUACGUGCCAGCAGCCGCGGUAAUACGUAGGUGGCAAGCGUUGUCCGGAUUUAUUGGGCGUAAAGCGAGCGCAGGCGGUCAAUUAAGUCUGAUGUGAAAGCCCCCGGCUCAACCGGGGAGGGUCAUUGGAAACUGGUUGACUUGAGUGCAGAAGGGGAGAGUGGAAUUCCAUGUGUAGCGGUGAAAUGCGUAGAUAUAUGGAGGAACACCGGUGGCGAAAGCGGCUCUCUGGUCUGUAACUGACGCUGAGGCUCGAAAGCGUGGGGAGCGAACAGG